GAUUUUUUACAAUGUGUGCAACCCUGAUCCAGCCAUCCCUCGCGUGCGAUUAAUGCGUUCGGGUUGUAAAGCACGUUUUGCAGGGAAGUAAAGGCGCGGGCUAAUACCCGGCGCCGCUCACGGUACCUGCAGAAUAAGCACCGGCGAACUACGGGCCAGCAGCCGGGGUAAUACGUAGGGUGCAAGCGUUAAUCGGAAUUACUGGGCGUAAAGAGUGGGCAGGCGGUUCGGCAAGAAGGAUGUGAAACCCCGGGGCUUAACCUCGGAACUGCUUUCUUAACUGCCGGGCUAGGGUAAGGAAGAGGGGGGUAGAAUUCCAGGUGUAGGCGUGAAAGGCGUAGAGAUGUGGAGGACUACCGAUGGCGAAGGCAGCCCCCUGGGAUGAUACUGACGCUCAUGAACGAAAGCGUGGGGAGCAAAC
This 421-nucleotide ribosomal RNA is filed under the name uncultured bacterium. RNAcentral's name for it is "partial 16S ribosomal RNA". It matches the Rfam family "Bacterial small subunit ribosomal RNA", at positions 359 to 773 of the family's 1533-position model. The record is from RNAcentral.